Molecule: non-coding RNA, 126 nt
Organism: Brachypodium distachyon (stiff brome)
Lineage: Eukaryota; Viridiplantae; Streptophyta; Magnoliopsida; Poales; Poaceae
Source: Rfam
AUAAUACUCCAUCCGUCCCAUAUUAAGUGACUUUCUAUUACAUGUAUCUAGACGUAUUUUAGUAUAUAGAUACGUCCAUAUUUAGACAAAUUUGAGUCACUUAAUAUGGGACGCAGGGAGUACAAC